RNAcentral lists this ribosomal RNA (258 nucleotides) under uncultured bacterium. RNAcentral's name for it is "partial 16S ribosomal RNA". It matches the Rfam family "Bacterial small subunit ribosomal RNA", at positions 97 to 353 of the family's 1533-position model. The record is from RNAcentral.
GGCGCACGGGUGCGUAACGCGUAUGUAACCUACCUAUAACAGGGGCAUAACACUGAGAAAUUGGUACUAAUUCCCCAUAAUAUUCGGAGAGGCAUCUCUCCGGGUUGAAAAACUCCGGUGGUUAUAGAUGGACAUGCGUUGUAUUAGCUAGUUGGUGAGGUAACGGCUCACCAAGGCAACGAUACAUAGGGGGACUGAGAGGUUAACCCCCCACACUGGUACUGAGACACGGACCAGACUCCUACGGGAGGCAGCAUG